UACGGAGGAUCCGAGCGUUAUCCGGAAUUACUGGGCGUAAAGGGCGCGCAGGCUGUUAUGCGAGUCUGCUGUGAAAUGUACCGGCUCAACCGGUGCCUUGCGGCGGAUACUGCAUAGCUGGAGUACUGGAGAGGGAAGUGGAAUUCCCGGUGUAGCGGUGAAAUGCGUAGAGAUCGGGAGGAACAUCGAUGGCGAAGGCAGCCAUCUGGACCAGCACUGACGCUGAGGCACGAAAGCGUGGGGAGCAAA
This 249-nucleotide ribosomal RNA is filed under the name uncultured prokaryote. Its description in RNAcentral is "partial 16S ribosomal RNA". It matches the Rfam family "Bacterial small subunit ribosomal RNA", at positions 524 to 772 of the family's 1533-position model. The record is from RNAcentral.